RNAcentral lists this ribosomal RNA (467 nucleotides) under uncultured bacterium. RNAcentral's name for it is "partial 16S ribosomal RNA". It matches the Rfam family "Bacterial small subunit ribosomal RNA", at positions 28 to 507 of the family's 1533-position model. The record is from RNAcentral.
GAUGAGCGCUGGCGGCGUGCUUAACACAUGCAAGUCGAACGGAAAGGCUCCUGCUUGCAGGGGUACUCGAGUGGCGAACGGGUGAGUAACACGUGGGUGAUCUGCCCUGCACUUCGGGAUAAGCCUGGGAAACUGGGUCUAAUACCGGAUAGGACCACAUGAUGGAUGGUGUGGUUGAAAGUUUUUCGGUGUGGGAUGAGCUCGCGGCCUAUCAGCUUGUUGGUGGGGUAAUGGCCUACCAAGGCGUCGACGGGGAGCCGGCCUGAGAGGGUGUACGGCCACAUUGGAACUGAGAUACAGCCCAGACUCCUACGGGAGGCAGCAGUGGGGAAUAUUGCACAAUGGGCGCAAGCCUGAUGCAGCGACGCCGCGUGGGGGAUGACGGCCUUCGGGUUGUAGACUCCUUUCGCUAGGGACGAAGCGUUUUUGUGACGGUACCUGGAGAAGAAGCACCGGCUAACUACGUG